RNAcentral lists this ribosomal RNA (464 nucleotides) under uncultured bacterium. RNAcentral describes it as "partial 16S ribosomal RNA". It matches the Rfam family "Bacterial small subunit ribosomal RNA", at positions 339 to 795 of the family's 1533-position model. The record is from RNAcentral.
CUACGGGUUGCUGCAGUGGGGAAUAUUGCACAAUGGGCGCAAGCCUGAUGCAGCCAUGCCGCGUGUAUGAAGAAGGCCUUCGGGUUGUAAAGUACUUUCAGCGGGGAGGAAGGGAGUAAAGUUAAUACCUUUGCUCAUUGACGUUACCCGCAGAAGAAGCACCGGCUAACUCCGUGCCAGCAGCCGCGGUAAUACGGAGGGUGCAAGCGUUAAUCGGAAUUACUGGGCGUAAAGCGCACGCAGGCGGUUUGUUAAGUCAGAUGUGAAAGCCCCGGGCUCAACCUGGGAACUGCAUCUGAUACUGGCAGGCUUGAGUCUCGUAGAGGGGGGUAGAAUUCCAGGUGUAGCGGUGAAAUGCGUAGAGAUCUGGAGGAAUACCGGUGGCGAAGGCGGCCCCCUGGACGAAGACUGACGCUCAGGUGCGAAAGCGUGGGGAGCAAACAGGAUUAGAUACCCGUGUAGUC